GAGAGAGAGAGAGAGAGAGACCAUAUGUUUCGGCAAACUAAAGUUACAUCUUUUAAUAUAAGCAGAAAGAGAUUAUUAAAAUCUCGACCAAAAACAUUUGUAAUCAGUACUAAAUGUCAAUAAGAGAUCUAUGACAGUGGUAUCAGACUAGCAGUUGUGGAAGCUGUUUAACAAAACAAGGCAGACUGAAACUCUGCAUAAAUCCAUCCCCCCACACUCUUGUCUCACCACUCUCUUGUCACACAGAAAAAAGGGUGAGUAAUUAAUAUCAGGAAGGGGUAAAGGCAAGUGCACAGGCACAGGAGAACUCCACAUAAAAAGUAUACGAAACAAACCUUUUAUAUUAUUGCAUAACAUAUGCGAUGAACACUCAAAAAACAUUGGGUAUUAUUACUUAGGUGCACAAACAGAAUUAAAUUAUUUUUCUAGGCAAUUGAGCAAGCCAUGAAGAACCACUUUGCAAUUCUGUUCAAAGAAAUUGUAAAGCUAAACUUAUUCAAUUGCAAUAUUCUCAGUCAUUCAUUUAGUGAAAACCAAAGAUAAUUAAUUACAUAACUAGAAAAGUAUUCACUUACAGUUAGUUGAAUUUCUCAAAAUUGCUUGCUUAAUUGAUAAGUGUCCAAAUAGUCUUUUAUGCUCAUAGAA
Molecule: unclassified non-coding RNA, 645 nt
Filed under: Hevea brasiliensis (rubber tree)
Lineage: Eukaryota; Viridiplantae; Streptophyta; Magnoliopsida; Malpighiales; Euphorbiaceae
Source: RNAcentral